GGCGAAGGUGGCGAGCGUUGUUCGGAAUCACUGGGCAUAAAGCGCACGUAGGCGGCGAUAUAAGUCGGGUGUGAAAUCCCUCGGCCCAACCGAGGAACUGCGCCCGAAACUGUCUUGCUUGAGGAUCAAAGGGGUGCUCGGAAUUUCCGGUGGAGCGGUGAAAUGCGUUGAUAUCGGAAGGAACGUCGGCGGCGAAAGCGGGGCACUGGUUGAUUACUGACGCUGAGGUGCGAAAGCCAGGGGAGCAAACGGG
Molecule: ribosomal RNA, 253 nt
Filed under: uncultured bacterium
Lineage: Bacteria
Description: partial 16S ribosomal RNA
Rfam family: Bacterial small subunit ribosomal RNA
Source: RNAcentral